RNAcentral lists this long non-coding RNA (2400 nucleotides) under Equus caballus (horse). RNAcentral's name for it is "lncRNA (ENSECAG00000041907.2)". The record is from RNAcentral. Lineage: Eukaryota; Metazoa; Chordata; Mammalia; Perissodactyla; Equidae.
AAAGUUUUUAUUGCUCAACUGCAUAUAUUUACAACUUUCAAUGCGGUAUUGAAACAGGCAACAUUGAUAAUUCACGGAAGUUCAAUAUAUAAAUAAUAUUUACACAAUAUUGUCUAGAGAAAGGUAGUUUGAUGAAGAUUCACUUUAAGUACAAGAUGAGUCUCUUAAGAACUGUGGAGUGAGGGGUGACCCAAACAGUAUGUGAAGAGAAAGAAAGCCUCACCUUUCUUGGUGUGUUCUAGGAAUUCCAAGUCUUCAGAUUGGGAGGAAGUGAAGAUGAAGGAGCCAUCCUUUGCGUCCAGCAUGCGAAGGCAGAGGAUCUCCAGCCCAGGGAAGGGGCUCCCCUGCACCCACAGGCCUCAGUCACGCUCAGAUGGAGGUCAAGCUGGGUGGAGGCUGCCUGCUGUCUUGGGCGACGUGAGCGGAGGAGGAGAGAAGAGCUCUGCUUUAAGACCCAGGCCCACUCCUGAGGAAGGGACCAUAAGGCCUUGGUUCUUGGCCUCCUGGCAACUUUGGGAAAGCUCCUCGUGACGUCUUGAGUCUCACAACCUCUUCUAAGAACUCGAGCACUCGCAGCAGCUCUGCCGUCUCCUCUUCUUGUUCAACCAUUUGGCUCUCUCUCCCUUCAGUUCCUGAGCCAGGUCAGUCAAUUCCUCCUUCAGCAUUGCGUUGGUCCUCUUCACCUUUCUGUGAGUGUCUGUGAGGCUGGCUAUAGUCAGUGACUCUUUCUCCAGCCUGGCAAUCUCUAAAGAUGAUUGCAUCCCCAGAUACUCCUUUGAGCAGCGCCAAGCUUGUCAACGAGCUGGCAUUUCUCCUCAAUCCCUGCAGCCACUGCUUCUGCCAGCCGCUGUUCACAUUGUACAUAAAGUUGACUUCUAACAGACUGAACCAGUCUGAAUAUAAAUAAGAUGCCCACCAGUAAACUGAGGGCAGGUGGGCACAUCACUGUCUCCCACUGGAGGCUGUGGAAAGUGAGUCAUGGACUCAGGAUAUCGGGCAGCAUCUCCACCACCACCUCGCCCAGCUUGCCAAGGAUCAUCCCCAAGCCAAGCUGCACAGAGGACAGCAGCCCCUCCAUGGCACUGACCCACCACAGGGCUCUGCCCAGUUACCACAGAUCCACCAGCCACAGCACACUCCAGGGAACACCCCGACAUUCCGCCUGGAACCCAACCAGCAACUGACAGUCUGGAAAGCAUUAGUUUUAACUCAAAACUGAAUUCUUGGAGCAAUAUCAGCAAGAUGGUUGAGUAAGAGUUUCCAGCAGUCAUCCCUUUGCAGAAACAGCAAUCUGAUGAAUGAUCCACUCACGAAAAUGCCUUCACAAGAGCCAAGGAUUCUGGGCCACCAGAUCUCAAGAGUGAGGAUUGUGGGCCGGCCAUGAGCCCCCAACCCCACAAGCCCCUCUUGGAGCUUGAGGAGGUAAGGAGGGAACAAGGCCAUGCAGCCUGCUGCCAUCUCAGCUUUCAGAAGAUACUGUCAGCCGAGCCACGGGGACCCCGGUGCUUUGAGAACUGAACACAUGAAAGCUGGAGCCGCAUAAACACACAGAGAGGCUGGGACUGCCCGACACACACGGAGGCACAGUGACAGCAGAGGGCAGGAGAGGAGCUGACACAGAGCCCAGACAUCUACAGAGCCGCCGAGUCCAGAUCAGCCGGGCCUGGGUCCCUGCUGCUCCACUCUGCUAGGGCCAGGGAAGCUCUGGGGUGAUGGGUGCGCCCAAGGCCCAGUGCAUCCAAAUCCCGCCCCCUAAUUCCCUUGACCUCGGUGAGAUGGAGGCAGAUAAAACAACUGAGGCAGGGCCGGCUAAGCAAAGACUGCCUCCCAGACCAGCCCUCUCCCUACAGCUCCCUCCUGCACCGCAGGGGCACCUCUGCCUGGGAGCAGGGUCCACCCAAUUCUGCACCAGGCCAGCCAAUGACUCAGGAGGGAACCAAUUCAGGACACAGAAGCCUGAAGCCCAAGCCUGACUCUGUGGCUGAUCCAAGGCCCCAAGCGGCCCCGCUCCUAGCGCUCCAAGGACAGACGCCUCACCAAGUAAAGCCCCAGAGAAGCAGGGAUGUGUGCUUAUUGCACGCCCACUGUAUACCCAGCUUCACUUUGCAAAGUAUCCCCAUCACGAAUGAGGCGAGAGAGCUCGGGAGACGCAUGGCACGCCUGCCAUUGCGGCAGGUGGGGGGUAGGGUCAGGACACAGAUUUCUAGCUCCUCUCAGACUUCCUAGCAAAGUUGUGCAAAGGCAGCACAGCAAGCCCUGUGGCAGCACACGUGUGAGCAGAAGCCAGGCCUUCCCACAUGGCUCUGUGUCCCUCCUGGUCUGAGUGUGGGGUCUGCGCUCCCAGACCUGUUUUGGGCGUCUGCCCAAGCUUUUCACUCUCCAUGAGCAUCCCCUGCAGAC